Molecule: long non-coding RNA, 1617 nt
Organism: Tympanuchus pallidicinctus (lesser prairie-chicken)
Lineage: Eukaryota; Metazoa; Chordata; Aves; Galliformes; Phasianidae
Exons: 5
Source: RefSeq, a predicted model, not a curated record
ACUGAAAUCUUCCGGGAGGAGCCGGUGACAAGAGUGAUGGCUCUGCCGUCGAGGUCCUGCUGUUCUGCAUCGACGCUGGGAAACUCAAACACUUCAUCCUGGGCUGAACAAGAAGCUCAGCCACUGAUGCAUUGCAUGGACAGCAAGCCUGCAGUACAGGCAUGAUGGGGAUGUACAUGAUAUGGACAGUGCUGCCAGCAGACCUUUUCCUGACCCCAUGCAGUGAUCCACUCCUUCCACAGCACAGAGCUGUAAUUGCCCAACUUUACUGGCAGUGAAGGAAGCAAGAGGGAGCCAGAAUAACUGUGGCAAAGGGAACAGUUGUGGUCAAAUUACACCCAGUGCGGACAGGAGACUCAUCAGCGAAAUUCCAGGUAUUCAGACUGAAUUAGUGCUGACUGUGGAACUACUCAAUAUUGCCCAUCAUCCUCCAUUGAAACCACACACAUGCAAUCUUCAAGCUGGUCUCCAAAAGUGAUGAACUAUUCUUAAAGUCAGGCAAUCAAGCAGAGAAUCUCUGUGAGUCGAUUCUUCUCCACUGAGAGAAGCCCAAGCCCAGUCCCCUAGGAUACCCUGCCAAGAUCCAAGUAUUGUGCUGGUGAGACCUGAACUGCAGAACUCAACAGACCUUCAAGAAGGGAUGUUCUGCUCAAUAUCUUUACAUUUGGUUGUCCACCAUACCUUUGUGACUUCCGAAGACAGAUGAGAAUGAGUCUCUUUCAGGCGAGAAAUAGAGCUAUGGCUAAGACCUCCCACAACUGCCAUCAGUGUGUUGAAGUUCUGGAGAUGAAGGAGUUUCUGUAGAAGAGAUGGAUCAUGAAAAAAUAAAAAUAAGGGUCUUGCUGUAUCACUUAAAACUUCAGCAUUUGAAUGCCAGGUAAUACUAAGGCAUGCAUGAUGAAUAUGAUUAUUACUUCUAUGGAAUCAUUUUUCCCCACGAUUUACUCAACACUUAAGACAUUUUAUUUUGUGCAGUUUUACUUAACAUCCUCAUACAAUGAUACUGUAUAGGAAUGACCUAGUGCUACAAGCAAGAAGCAUAUAAAAAGGAGCUUUCACUUCACUCCAAUACCUGAUCAAGAACAUUAUUGAUGUAAAGAGCAAAAUCUGGGCACUGCUGAAGUCAACAGGAGCUCCUAACAAGAGUCUGAACUGCAACUCAAGAAGCUAACUAUGCAUCAGUUUUCCUAUGUCUUCCUCCUACAUCUACAACUGAUCAAUUCAUAGCACAAGCAGCUAGUUCUGCUAAAUCUUGCUCAUUCUGAUAUUGUUCAUUCCUGUGUGUUCAUGGAUAUUGUUCCACACGGAUGGCUACCACUAGAAUUAGAUUUCCCGAGAACUUCUGGAAAGCAUUCUUCAGCUCUCCCUUAAAUUUGGAUUUUCAGAAGCUUAUGAUGGAAUUUCAGCUUGUGUAGGGAGCUGUAGCAAUACCAGCCAACACUGACUUCUUGGUCAUCUUAGCUGCUAGAACUGCCUGCUAGAAGACAAUAUGACAGCAUAUUCUCUUACACAGUAAAUUAAAUGUAAAAAAAAUGUUUUGUUAAACAAUAUGAACGCCCUUUCCUAGGACAGGGUCCUAUCUGCAAACAACAAAGUUGGAGGCUUCUUACAGAAAUU